CAAAGAAUCGCUAAAACUAAUAUAAAAUGGCGGUCUUUAUCAAUUAAAGAAACUCGCCCUUUAAUCGUAAACACCCGUUAUAAUCAAACUUUAUUUUAAGUUUAUAUACCGCCGUUUCAGAACUAAAAUAAUCAUAAUUCCAAACCUAUAAACAACAAAAAUCAGGUCAAGGUGUAACUUAUAAUAAAGAUUGGGUAAGUUACAUUAAAAAUAAUUUAAGGAAAAUUUUAAAAUAAUAAAAUUAGAAAAAGAAUUUAGAUGUACAAUUUAGUUAAUAUCUAAAAUAGAAAAAAUAUAUAAAGAUGC
Molecule: ribosomal RNA, 306 nt
Filed under: Uthina luzonica
Lineage: Eukaryota; Metazoa; Arthropoda; Arachnida; Araneae; Pholcidae
Description: partial 12S ribosomal RNA
Source: RNAcentral